This 867-nucleotide long non-coding RNA is filed under the name Coffea arabica (coffee). RNAcentral describes it as "long non-coding RNA (CARA_LNC000233)". The record is from RNAcentral. Lineage: Eukaryota; Viridiplantae; Streptophyta; Magnoliopsida; Gentianales; Rubiaceae.
CAAGAAGCAAACUAGCAGAGUAGAUCAUAUCUAAUAAAUUUCUCCAUCUCAACAACAAGAAUAAACAAAGGUAGGACUUUACAAACAAGAACAGUACAUUGCAUACCAACUUGGCCUUGCAACUACGCUAUUUAUAAUGCAACAUUUUGAGUCCUAGUUCCACAAGCUUUCUUCUUGCAUUGUGAACCCAUACUGCCAUUAAUAAGAUGCAACCUCCUACCAGUGCCAACAUCAACAUCUGGGUUUUUUUCUCAACCUUUGAAUUUCUAUCCUCAUUUCCUUGUUGUUUCCUUCGGCUUUCCCUAGUUCCCUUAACAAUUUGGAAAUCGUGUUCUUUGUAUACUCCGGCAAGGGCGGAUUGUACCAUAAAAAAAAUUUGCAACAAUGAGCAGUCUGCAUUCAAAAUUAAUCCAUCAUUAGUAAUAAAACUUAAAUAAAUACACCCUAACCAUUACAAAGAUUAUUAAAAUUUAAGCAUUUGGCUAGUCUUAUUACACCGUAAUUUCUUCAUCCAUUAAACGGAUUUGCUGCAGUCCAAGAAGACACUAUUCUACAGGAUUCUUGGCGAUGGCACUUCAUGAUUUCUCUCCAUUGUAAUAUUCAACUUUUCCUGGGCUAGAUCCUCCGAAAUGUGAACUUCCAUAGGCCUCCUUCCUUGAAGAUCGAUUUGUAGUUGAGCUGGACGAUCCCGCAUCCAAAUUUUCCAUCUGCUAUGCACUUCAAAAGGAUGAACUUGAAUACAUUAUAGUUGUAAGCUGGUAAUUGGGAAUCGGUUUCAAGCCCCUAAUUUCUUCCGCUAUUUGGAUGCGAAAUGGGUUAUGUCUUGAAAACCCCUAAUUUCACAGGCUUCCCCUUAUUUGGAUACAA